Molecule: ribosomal RNA, 393 nt
Filed under: uncultured bacterium
Lineage: Bacteria
Description: partial 16S ribosomal RNA
Rfam family: Bacterial small subunit ribosomal RNA
Source: RNAcentral
AUACGGAGGAUGCAAGCGUUAUCCGGAUUUAUUGGGUUUAAAGGGUGCGUAGGCGGUUUGCUAAGCGGGAGGUGAAAUGCCGGCGCUCAACGUCGGAAGUGCCUCCCGAACUGGUGGACUUGAAUGACUCUGCCGUGGGAGGAAUGUGUAGUGUAGCGGUGAAAUGCUUAGAGAUUACAAAGAACACCGAGUGCGAAGGCAUCUCACGAAGGGUUGAUUGACGCUGAGGCACGAAAGCGUGGGGAUCAAACAGGAUUAGAGACCCUGGUAGUCCACGCAGUAAACGAUGAUGGCUAACCGCUGGGCUUAUCAGUUCAGUGGCCAAGCGAAAGCGAUAAGCCAUCCACCUGGGGAGUACGACCGCAAGGUUGAAACUCAAAGGAAUUGACGGGG